Molecule: long non-coding RNA, 429 nt
Filed under: Homo sapiens (human)
Lineage: Eukaryota; Metazoa; Chordata; Mammalia; Primates; Hominidae
Description: non-protein coding LINC01588:63
Source: RNAcentral
AAACCCCAGCCACCCUCUUCCAGCCUCUUCUCCCUGCAGCAUCCUUGGGUAUCUGAUUUGAGGCAAUUGCUUCUGUUCUGUGACAGGAAACCACCCCAGGAGGUCUGAGAGAAAUGAGGAAAGGAGGCGUCCAUCUCCAGCCCCAUUCAGACACGCUCCUGGGAGAGAACAGCUCACAUUUGGCUCACGCUUCUCAUAUGCCGAGCGCUCUGCUGUGUUACCUCAGUGACUUUCACUGACUCCCAAGGAAGUGAUGGGGAUGGGGAAACUGGAAUUCAAACCCAUUUCCAACUCCCUCCGGAUCUCGAGAGAUUAACCACAGACACAACUUUUCCUGAACACAGAACAAGAAGGCAAAAGGAAGCAGAGGUCCCUGUUUUCAGGAGAGGACAGGAGAAAGCAUUGUUGGUGCUCUGAGGGUGUCAGCCA